AGGGUUUGAUCAUGGCUCAGAACGUACGCUGGCGGCACGCCUAACACAUGCAAGUCGAACGCAGUAGCAAUACUGAGUGGCAGACGGGUGAGUAACAUGUGGGAAUCUGCCUUGUGGUUCAGGAUAACACUGGGAAACCGAUGCUAAUACUGGAUAAGCCCUUACGGGGAAAGUUUUAAUGCCAUAAGAUGAGCCCGCAUUUGAUUAGUUAGUUGGUGAGGUAAUGGCUCACCAAGACAAUGAUCAAUAGCUGAUCUGAGAGGAUGAUCAGCCACACUGGGACUGAGACACGGCCCAGACUCCUACGGGAGGCAGCAGUGGGGAAUCUUGCACAAUGGAGGAAACUCUGAUGCAGCGAUGCCGCGUGAGUGAAGAAGGCCUUUGGGUUGUAAAGCUCUUUUGUAGGGGAAGAUAAUGACUGUACCCUAAGAAUAAGGUCCGGCUAACUUCGUGCCAGCAGCCGCGGUAAUUC
This 472-nucleotide ribosomal RNA is filed under the name uncultured Holosporaceae bacterium. RNAcentral's name for it is "bacterial SSU rRNA". It matches the Rfam family "Bacterial small subunit ribosomal RNA", at positions 8 to 526 of the family's 1533-position model. The record is from RNAcentral. Lineage: Bacteria; Pseudomonadati; Pseudomonadota; Alphaproteobacteria; Holosporales; Holosporaceae.